Molecule: ribosomal RNA, 301 nt
Filed under: uncultured bacterium
Lineage: Bacteria
Description: partial 16S ribosomal RNA
Rfam family: Bacterial small subunit ribosomal RNA
Source: RNAcentral
CAGCAGCCGCGGGAAAACGUAGGGUGCAAGCGUUAAUCGGAAUUACUGGGCGUAAAGCGUGCGCAGGCGGUGUUGUAAGACUGAUGUGAAAUCCCCGGGCUCAACCUGGGAAUGGCAGUGGAUACUGGCAAGCUAGAGUGUGUCAGAGGAUGGUGGAAUUCCCGGUGUAGCGGUGAAAUGCGUAGAGAUCGGGAGGAACAUCAGUGGCGAAGGCGGCCAUCUGGGACAACACUGACGCUGAGGCACGAAAGCGUGGGGAGCAAACAGGAUUAGAGACCCCUGUAGUCCCUGUCUCUUAUAC